AAUAGAUACCCAGGUAGUCCACGCCGUAAACGAUGUCGACUUGGAGGUUGUUCCCUUGAGGAGUGGCUUCCGGAGCUAACGCGUUAAGUCGACCGCCUGGGGAGUACGGCCGCAAGGUUAAAACUCAAAUGAAUUGACGGGGGCCCGCACAAGCGGUGGAGCAUGUGGUUUAAUUCGAUGCAACGCGAAGAACCUUACCUACUCUUGACAUCCAGAGAACUUAGCAGAGAUGCUUUGGUGCCUUCGGGAACUCUGAGACAGGUGCUGCAUGGCUGUCGUCAGCUCGUGUUGUGAAAUGUUGGGUUAAGUCCCGCAACGAGCGCAACCCUUAUCCUUUGUUGCCAGCGGUUCGGCCGGGAACUCAAAGGAGACUGCCAGUGAUAAACUGGAGGAAGGUGGGGAUGACGUCAAGUCAUCAUGGCCCUUACGAGUAGGGCUACACACGUGCUACAAUGGCGUAUACAAAGAGAAGCGACCUCGCGAGAGCAAGCGGACCUCAUAAAGUACGUCGUAGUCCGGAUUGGAAUCUGCAACUCG
This 537-nucleotide ribosomal RNA is filed under the name uncultured bacterium. RNAcentral describes it as "bacterial SSU rRNA". It matches the Rfam family "Bacterial small subunit ribosomal RNA", at positions 777 to 1314 of the family's 1533-position model. The record is from RNAcentral.